CAAACCGCCUCUCUUACGGUAUACAUCUCAAAUGCAUAGCAAUGAUGGACGGUUUGUUCACCACAGUUGGAAAAAUUACAAAGGCAAAUUUAAGGAACGAUGACGACCUAAUAGAUAAGUUAAAUCAUCGAUACACAGUUGUAUUUCUGGUUAUAUUCACCGUUGUUGUCUCAACGACUCAAUAUGUUGGAAAUCCUAUUCAUUGUUGGUGUCCUGCGUACUUUACGAGUAAUCAUGAGGAGUUUGCCAAUAAAGUUUGUUGGAUUUCGAAUACGUAUUAUAUUCCUGACAGGGUUAUGGCUGGAACGGGAAACUUAAAAGAACGUAUAGGUUACUACCAAUGGAUUCCUAUAGUUUUAUUAGUGCAGGGAUUUCUCUUCUUUCUGCCUUGCGUUAUCUGGAGAGUAUUUAGUAGCCGAUCAGGUAUUAAUAUUCAUAAUUUGGUGGAGUCAUCCGAAACUAUACAGAAUGCUCUUUAUCCUGAACGAAGAGAUAAAACGAUAAAGUAUAUGAUAAGACACCUGGAUCAUUACCUGGAAUACCAAAGGGAAUAUAGGGGAGGUUGUUGUGUUGCUUGUAAACAUUUCUUAUCGAGACAUCUAUGCCUGAUAUGCGGCAAUAGGUCGGUGAUUAUUUGUCAAGUUUAAUAGAGAUUGAAAAGGUUAAAACUUUGAAAAUUCCCAUUAAAAAUGAAAAUGUUUUGAUUUCGCUACUCUAAAAUUAUUCCCAAAGUAAAAAGGUUGGAGAAAUUUAAUCCUUUCCUGUUUUUUCUCAUCUGAAAUAUUAAACUUGUAAUAAUUUUUAACUUUUCUCUCCUCAAAAAACUUUAUAAUCCCUUACUUUUUCUCAAGUUCUUCUUUUAUCCUUAUUUAUAUGUUAAAUUGAAAGUUUCCUUCUAUAAUUUAAAUUGUAUGAUUGUUUAUAUGAAGGAUAUAAAUCAAUUCAUUUUUUCAUUCAUCAUUUUCAAUUUUUUUUUCAAAACUGACCUAUUUAAAAAGAGUUCAAAAGUUUCUGAAGCUAAAAAACUCUAAGGAUUUUUAUAUGUUGAAAGCUCUCUUUCAUGACUGAUUUUAUAGGAUUGAGUAAUAUUUUUCUGCUUAAAAAGAUGAAACAAGUAAAUAACGGACCAAUUUUUUCUUCAGUAUUAUGAUAGUACUAAAAUCAUCUAAUUAGUGGUAUUAAGAUAACAUAAAAAGUUAAUUAGCGAAUAAAUUGACUUGUUUAUUUAAAGAUACACACAUAUAUAUAUAUAUACAUAUAUAUAUAUAUAUUUGUUUAUUUAUAUAUAAACUCUAUACAUUUAAUCUAGUAACUUGUGAAAUAAUCACUGACCAAUGUACCUUAUAAAAAGAUACGGAAAUUAUUUAGUAGCACUUUACAUGUCGUCGAAAAUAUUAUACUUUGUCAACGUAAUAGCUCAGUUAUUCAUGCUCAACGGCUUCUUAGGAACAGACUAUCAUCUGUACGGAUUUGAAAUUAUUAGAGAAUUAUUUUAUGGACGAGAUUGGACAGCGUCUAGAAGGUUUCCACGUGUAACAUUGUGUGAUUUCGAAAUCAGGCAAAUGGGAAAUUUCCAUAGGCAUACGGUACAAUGCGUUCUACCCAUAAAUCUUUUCAACGAAAAAAUCUACAUUUUUCUGUGGUUUUGGUUCGUUUUCGUUUCUACAGCGACUGCAGUUAGUUUUCUGAGAUGGUUAGUUUUCAUUGGUAUGAGAUACAGUAGAGUUCGAUAUAUUAGAAGACAUUUAAAAGUUAUGGAUAAAAUUCAAAGGGAUAAUGAAAGAGAAAGAAAAUUAAGCUAUAAAUUUGCAGAAACUUAUUUAAGACAAGAUGGAAUAUUUGUAUUAAAAUUAGUAGGAAAGAAUUCAACAGAUUUGGUUGUUGCUGAUAUCGUGGCAGCACUUUGGGAUAACUACAAAAAUAAACCAAUACAUGGUGGAAGACCAGCUGAUGAAUAUGACGAUUCAGCCAGUAUAACAUAGAAACAAGUUUGUUUAUUUAUAUAAUGAAUCUUUUUACGUUAUUUCUAACAGCUAAUUUAGGUAUUUAUAUUAUCAAGACAACUAAAAACAAAUCCGUAAUAUUCUAUUCACCUUAAUCAAGAGUUUUUUCACUUUUAUGUAUUCUUAUAUCAUCAUUAAAAGGUCAUAAAUUAACAUUAAUUAAAUAAUUUAUCAUUCAAUUUUUAUCUAUAAAUAAUAAGAAAUUCAUAUGAGAUAGCAGACAUAGUGAUAAUAGCAAUCGUUGUUGCGUUUGUUAUUGAUGCUGUUGUUAAUAUUAUGAUAGAAGAAAUAAUAGCGAGACUGAACAAAAGAAAUAAUAUAAAAGAAAUAAUAAAAACAUAUUAGAAAAUAGAAAUAAUGAGAACGAUAAUAUAGGAAAAGGAGAAGUAUAAACAAUGUAAAGAAAUAUAUACAAGUAAUAGAAAGUUAAUAGAAUAAUAGAAUAAAUUAUAAAUUAUUUAUAUAGCUAUAAUAUGGAAAUUAGCAUAAUUAUGAAUAUAUUAAAGCUAUUAGUGUAUUUAUAUAUAAUAGAAUUUCAAGGAACUUUUAGCAAAGUUUUACAAAAUCCGUCUAAAAUUUCAGAUAGAAUCUCAGAAAUUUUUCUCACUAUCGAUACUAAGAAUCAAAGUUUUUUUUUCACACGGAAAUCUUCUAACGGCAUCAUAAAACGCUUUUCUAAAAUACAAAAACUGCAAACGAUUCCAGAUCGUCUGACCCAGAAAACAGUACAAAGCAUAAUAAGUACAUUUCUGCUGUAGGUAUUUGCAAUUUGCUUACACAGGCAAGUUCUAUUAGUAAAAGUAAAUUAUUGUCUAAGUUGUUUUAAGGUCAAGUUAUUUGUUUGACGAACAAACUUUUAUUUUAUUAUAUACAAAUUUGCAAUGCUUUAUCGUAGCAAAAACUUCUGAAAUCAACACUAAAACCUUAUUUGCCUUAUCAGUUGCAGACAUUGGGAAAAACUAUCCAUUUCUCGGUAGAUAAGCUAGUUUUGCGUAUCUGAAUGGUAUUUUAUUCAAUAAGACAGCUCUUUCUUACCUCGUUAAUCAUUUCAUUAUUCAUUUUACAUGACGUUUCACUGGGGGCAAGUGACCUCAGGUGUAUUCUCAAAAGAAGAUGGUUAAAUUCCUAGAAAUAUCAGAUCAACUGCUUCUACCUACUGAUAAGUUUUCCCAUCUUUUAGUAUGCCCCUGCAGACAUUCCAACUGCACAUAUCUUCCCAAAGUCUUUCCAAAUAUGGAGCGAUGGUAGAUUAGUCAUGGAAGAUAGUAUGUUUUUUUUUAUAGACAAAUUCAAAGAAGAAAAAUAAGAAAACUGAUAACAAGAAAGAAGACAUUUAUCUUUAUGACUGGGAAAAUUUAAUGUCGUUAGAUAUUUUUUUAAAAGAGUGAGAGAGCGAAAAAAGAGGCUACAUACAUUUAAUUUUUGUCAGAAUAUGCAUUAAAAAAUAUAUUGUACAUUGUUAAUGAAAAUCUUUUCUAUUCAUAUAAACAAACAAAACGUUCAACUGUUAUUACAUUUAUAUUAUUUAUACAUGUUUAAAGAAAUAUAUAAAGCUAUAUAUAAAAAUGAUAUACCUUUAUAAUAAUUAUAAUUGUUAUACCGAAAUAUACAAAGAAUAU
This 3622-nucleotide unclassified non-coding RNA is filed under the name Dimorphilus gyrociliatus. RNAcentral's name for it is "innexin". The record is from RNAcentral. Lineage: Eukaryota; Metazoa; Annelida; Polychaeta; Dinophilidae.